Molecule: long non-coding RNA, 607 nt
Organism: Beta vulgaris subsp. vulgaris (sugar beet)
Lineage: Eukaryota; Viridiplantae; Streptophyta; Magnoliopsida; Caryophyllales; Amaranthaceae
Exons: 3
Source: RefSeq, a predicted model, not a curated record
AAUAGGAAUGGUCAUGGGCCUAAUCAGAACCAGAACAACAAUAACCGUCCCUAUAACAACAACAACUCCCAGGGUCAGACUUCGAAUGCUCAAGGGGGAACAAUACUCAGCAUAAUGGUCAGAAUAACAAUCGAGCAAAUGGAGGAAACAACAAUCAGAACGGCAAUGGAAAUGGUGCUCGAGGCAACAAUGGAAGAAUCUAUGUUAUGAACCAGAAUGAAGCAGACACCAACGCCAAUGUUGUGACGGACGGAAACUUCGUAGAAGGCGACUUUUAGGGGAUAUUGUUAUACUUGGGACGCGUUUGAGGUUGGUGAAAGGGACUACGUUGCAGGAAUGAGUGAAUCUAUAGUUUUUAAUUUCACCUAGUUUAAUAAACAUUACAGUACUGUCAUUUGAGAUUGUUUAGUUUUGAUUUGGUAUAAAUUAGACAACUUACUUUGGUUUAUUUUGAUACUUUGGUUUGUGAGUUAAAUUUUUAUUCUUAAUAAUUAGCCUUGCAUUUAUUUUUAACAAUAGAUGCGGCGGUAACACCCUAAAGGUUUGGUCAGAUAUUUUAAUGAAAAGUGAAUGUUUUAUAAAGUUUUAGAACCAAAGUUUUAGGGUG